GCGACUGCGCAAAAAUGUCUUUAGGGCCUCAGCGUGGAGGCGCGCACCAGCUUUUGCUGUCCUUCAUCUGGGUCCUUUUCAUGCCUCUCAGUGAGUCAAUUAAGUAUUCUGAAGAUGUGCUAUGCUGAAUGAAGAACUAUGCCAGCGCAGGGAUUACCAGGAUGUGCCGCCACGUUUGCUUCCUGCGGUGCUGGGACUGAACACAUCACCUCCUCCUUUCUAGGCACGCACCCUACCAAGAGAGCUGCAGCCCAGCCCUCCGCGUUGCUUUUUUAAAAUGCUCAUCCAGGGUAAGAACUGCUGCCUUAGAGUCACGUGAGCCAAGUGUGCUCCAAGGGCAACAGCAGGCACAACCUUCUGGAGCUGCUGAAUACCAGACUUUCAUACCUGCUUUCAGAACUGGUGAACCACACUGUCCUGGGCUAAGGCAUGUGGCUUAGGGGUGUCAUACUUAGUUUUAGUUGUCAGCUUGUACAGCCCAACGUCACUGGAGGAGCACCAUCUAGUUCGUGCUUGAGUUUCCCCCUGACUUCUCUCAACAAUGGACUGUGGCCUACAAGUGAAAAGCAAAUAAAUCCGUUCCUUCCCUAAA
Molecule: long non-coding RNA, 592 nt
Organism: Psammomys obesus (fat sand rat)
Lineage: Eukaryota; Metazoa; Chordata; Mammalia; Rodentia; Muridae
Exons: 2
Source: RefSeq, a predicted model, not a curated record